This 23-nucleotide unclassified non-coding RNA is filed under the name Mus musculus (house mouse). Its description in RNAcentral is "oocyte_clustered_small_RNA3676". Lineage: Eukaryota; Metazoa; Chordata; Mammalia; Rodentia; Muridae. The record is from RNAcentral.
CAGUUAUAGAGAUCGGCCGAGGA